UCGUGAGACAGUUCGGUCCCUAUCUGCCGUGGGCGCUGGAGAACUGAGGGGGGCUGCUCCUAGUACGAGAGGACCGGAGUGGACGCAUCACUGGUGUUCGGGUUGUCAUGCCAAUGGCACUGCCCGGUAGCUAAAUGCGGAAGAGAUAAGUGCUGAAAGCAUCUAAGCACGAAACUUGCCCCGAGAUGAGUUCUCCCUGACCCUUUAAGGGUCCUGAAGGAACGUUGAAGACGACGACGUUGAUAGGCCGGGUGUGUAAGCGCAGCGAUGCGUUGAGCUAACCGGUACUAAUGAACCGUGAGGCUUAACCUU
This 312-nucleotide ribosomal RNA is filed under the name Escherichia coli. RNAcentral's name for it is "partial 23S ribosomal RNA". It matches the Rfam family "Bacterial large subunit ribosomal RNA", at positions 2619 to 2925 of the family's 2925-position model. The record is from RNAcentral. Lineage: Bacteria; Pseudomonadati; Pseudomonadota; Gammaproteobacteria; Enterobacterales; Enterobacteriaceae.